CCGCCACAGCCCCACGCCCCAACCCCCUCGGACAUGACCCUAACCACCCAUUACCGCCCACAGCCACAACUACACGCAAAAAAUAGGGAAGUAAAAGGAUAUAGCCGGUGGCAAUAUCCAAGCAGCAGCCAGGAGAUACAAGGCACACACACGUUGACGGGACUACUCCCGAAGCAAAACUAAGCAGCGACCGCCGCAACAGCAACAACAGUCAACAGACAAUGUUCACAAUAUGAAAUAUGAGAUAACGAACUAAAAUGCGAUAUGAAAUAUGAGAUAACGAACUAAAAUGCAAUAUGAACUAACGAAAUAAUGAAAUAAUGAAAUAACAAAGGUUAGAAGUCACCGGAUUUCGCUUGGGGCUGCGGCUGAGGACGACGGCGUGGCGGGUGCAGGCGGGGUCUCGGCCUGUUGGAGCCC
This 420-nucleotide long non-coding RNA is filed under the name Capsicum annuum. Its description in RNAcentral is "long non-coding RNA (CANN_LNC000307)". The record is from RNAcentral. Lineage: Eukaryota; Viridiplantae; Streptophyta; Magnoliopsida; Solanales; Solanaceae.